UACAGAGGGUGCAAGCGUUAAUCGGAAUUAUUGGGCGUAAAGCGCGCGCAGGUGGUUUCUUAAGUCUGAUGUGAAAGCCCACGGCUCAACCGUGGAGGGUCAUUGGAAACUGGGAGACUUGAGUGCAGAAGAGGAAAGUGGAAUUCCAUGUGUAGCGGUGAAAUGCGUAGAGAUAUGGAGGAACACCAGUGGCGAAGGCGACUUUCUGGUCUGUAACUGACACUGAGGCGCGAAAGCGUGGGGAGCAAACAGG
RNAcentral lists this ribosomal RNA (253 nucleotides) under uncultured bacterium. Its description in RNAcentral is "partial 16S ribosomal RNA". It matches the Rfam family "Bacterial small subunit ribosomal RNA", at positions 524 to 776 of the family's 1533-position model. The record is from RNAcentral.